This 2147-nucleotide ribosomal RNA is filed under the name Salmonella enterica subsp. enterica serovar Chester. RNAcentral's name for it is "partial 23S ribosomal RNA". It matches the Rfam family "Bacterial large subunit ribosomal RNA", at positions 675 to 2802 of the family's 2925-position model. Lineage: Bacteria; Pseudomonadati; Pseudomonadota; Gammaproteobacteria; Enterobacterales; Enterobacteriaceae. The record is from RNAcentral. RNAcentral also lists the same sequence under 2 other names.
AACCGAGUCUUAAUUGGGCGUUAAGUUGCAGGGUAUAGACCCGAAACCCGGUGAUCUAGCCAUGGGCAGGUUGAAGGUUGGGUAACACUAACUGGAGGACCGAACCGACUAAUGUUGAAAAAUUAGCGGAUGACCUGUGGCUGGGGGUGAAAGGCCAAUCAAACCGGGAGAUAGCUGGUUCUCCCCGAAAGCUAUUUAGGUAGCGCCUCGUGAAUUCAUCUCCGGGGGUAGAGCACUGUUUCGGCUAGGGGGCCAUCCCGGCUUACCAACCCGAUGCAAACUGCGAAUACCGGAGAAUGUUAUCACGGGAGACACACGGCGGGUGCUAACGUCCGUCGUGAAGAGGGAAACAACCCAGACCGCCAGCUAAGGUCCCAAAGUCAUGGUUAAGUGGGAAACGAUGUGGGAAGGCCCAGACAGCCAGGAUGUUGGCUUAGAAGCAGCCAUCAUUUAAAGAAAGCGUAAUAGCUCACUGGUCGAGUCGGCCUGCGCGGAAGAUGUAACGGGGCUAAACCAUGCACCGAAGCUGCGGCAGCGACGCUGAUGCGUUGUUGGGUAGGGGAGCGUUCUGUAAGCCUGCGAAGGUGGCCUGUGAGGGUUGCUGGAGGUAUCAGAAGUGCGAAUGCUGACAUAAGUAACGAUAAAGCGGGUGAAAAGCCCGCUCGCCGGAAGACCAAGGGUUCCUGUCCAACGUUAAUCGGGGCAGGGUGAGUCGACCCCUAAGGCGAGGCCGAAAGGCGUAGUCGAUGGGAAACGGGUUAAUAUUCCCGUACUUGGUGUUACUGCGAAGGGGGGACGGAGAAGGCUAUGUUGGCCGGGCGACGGUUGUCCCGGUUUAAGCGUGUAGGUGUGUGUUCCAGGUAAAUCCGGUUCACUUUAACACUGAGGCGUGAUGACGAGGCACUACGGUGCUGAAGCAACAAAUGCCCUGCUUCCAGGAAAAGCCUCUAAGCAUCAGGUAACAUCAAAUCGUACCCCAAACCGACACAGGUGGUCAGGUAGAGAAUACCAAGGCGCUUGAGAGAACUCGGGUGAAGGAACUAGGCAAAAUGGUGCCGUAACUUCGGGAGAAGGCACGCUGACACGUAGGUGAAGUGAUUUACUCAUGGAGCUGAAGUCAGUCGAAGAUACCAGCUGGCUGCAACUGUUUAUUAAAAACACAGCACUGUGCAAACACGAAAGUGGACGUAUACGGUGUGACGCCUGCCCGGUGCCGGAAGGUUAAUUGAUGGGGUCAGCGCAAGCGAAGCUCCUGAUCGAAGCCCCGGUAAACGGCGGCCGUAACUAUAACGGUCCUAAGGUAGCGAAAUUCCUUGUCGGGUAAGUUCCGACCUGCACGAAUGGCGUAAUGAUGGCCAGGCUGUCUCCACCCGAGACUCAGUGAAAUUGAACUCGCUGUGAAGAUGCAGUGUACCCGCGGCAAGACGGAAAGACCCCGUGAACCUUUACUAUAGCUUGACACUGAACAUUGAGCCUUGAUGUGUAGGAUAGGUGGGAGGCUUUGAAGUGUGGACGCCAGUCUGCAUGGAGCCGACCUUGAAAUACCACCCUUUAAUGUUUGAUGUUCUAACGUGGACCCGUGAUCCGGGUUGCGGACAGUGUCUGGUGGGUAGUUUGACUGGGGCGGUCUCCUCCUAAAGAGUAACGGAGGAGCACGAAGGUUGGCUAAUCCUGGUCGGACAUCAGGAGGUUAGUGCAAUGGCAUAAGCCAGCUUGACUGCGAGCGUGACGGCGCGAGCAGGUGCGAAAGCAGGUCAUAGUGAUCCGGUGGUUCUGAAUGGAAGGGCCAUCGCUCAACGGAUAAAAGGUACUCCGGGGAUAACAGGCUGAUACCGCCCAAGAGUUCAUAUCGACGGCGGUGUUUGGCACCUCGAUGUCGGCUCAUCACAUCCUGGGGCUGAAGUAGGUCCCAAGGGUAUGGCUGUUCGCCAUUUAAAGUGGUACGCGAGCUGGGUUUAGAACGUCGUGAGACAGUUCGGUCCCUAUCUGCCGUGGGCGCUGGAGAACUGAGGGGGGCUGCUCCUAGUACGAGAGGACCGGAGUGGACGCAUCACUGGUGUUCGGGUUGUCAUGCCAAUGGCACUGCCCGGUAGCUAAAUGCGGAAGAGAUAAGUGCUGAAAGCAUCUAAGCACGAAACUUGCCCCGA